Long non-coding RNA from Ficedula albicollis (Collared flycatcher), 1062 nucleotides. RefSeq lists it as uncharacterized. Lineage: Eukaryota; Metazoa; Chordata; Aves; Passeriformes; Muscicapidae. The record is from RefSeq and is a predicted model, not a curated record. The transcript has 4 exons.
CCCAAGGCCUGAGAACAGCCAGGCUUUGACUUGGUGCCAUCUGCCAGUUUACUAAUGAAAGACUCGAUCCCCUCAUCCAUGUCAUCAGUGAAAAUACUGAACAGAACAGGCCCCAGCAGACCCCUGAGGGACACCACUGGUGACUGAUCCCCAGCUGGAUGCAGCACCAUUCACCACCACUCUCUGGGCCUGAUGAUCCAGCCAGUUCUUAACCCAGCAAAGAGGGUUCCUGUCCAAGCCACGGGCUGCAGCUUUUCCAGGAGUGUGCUGAGGGAGACACUGUCAAAGGCCUUGCUGAAGUCCAGCUCCUUCAAAAGCUCCUUGCCCAUCCAGGCCAGUGGUUUUCCUCGACAGCUCAUCUUUCAGCACAUAGGGACAGACAGUCUGUUCCUGAGCCUUCAAGAUCUCUGUUUGGAAGCACGCCCAUCCUUCCUGGACUCCUUUAUUUUUAAGGGCUGCUCCCAAGGUGUUCUCCAAAUAAGUCUCGAACAGGCCAAAUUCUUCCCUCUGGAAGUUCAGUGUAGAAGUUUUAUUGAUGCUCCUCAUUGUUUCACCAAAUAUUGAAAACUCUGUGAUUUCAUGAUUUACUGGUGAAAAGUUAGAAGCAAUCUAAACAGGGAGGCCCCAGCUGCUCUCCACAAGGCACCCAGAUGCAUUCCCGAGCUCCACACACUCCACUUUUCCACAGUCACAGCUGCAUGACUCAGUGCUGCGCAGCAGUUUUCAUUUCCAAGGCGUUUUGCAAACAUGAGCUGACUCAGCCGUGCCAGACCCCGUUCCUUGCCAAUUGGAUUGAAGGGGCCUCUGAGGAGAAGGGCUGCAGCUCAGCCCAGAGGAAUGCAACAACAUCCUGGGUGCUGACAACAACCUCACCUCAGAGUAUGGGACUUCUGGGCCUUGAGGGAAGACAAUAAAGGUGAUAGUUAAUGUCUCUUCAGUGUUAAAAUUUGUGACUACAAGAAAGAUGAUACACUGCUUCUAGAACUGUAAGUGAUCUUCCUCGUCCCACCUCUACCCCUAAGGCUGGAGGGAAUUAGAGCAGGGGCUGCAGCUUGCACAGAU